AGACCAUGAUGAGGACAACGUUGAAGUAAUUCUUUGUAUCUUUCCCAACCUCAUACAACGAUUUAAAAUCUUGUUGCAUGAAUGACGUGAUAUCAUUCCUCAUUUU
RNAcentral lists this small nucleolar RNA (106 nucleotides) under Theobroma cacao (cacao). RNAcentral describes it as "Plant small nucleolar RNA R71". It matches the Rfam family "Plant small nucleolar RNA R71". Rfam says of the family: R71 is a member of the C/D box family of snoRNAs containing the C (UGAUGA) and D (CUGA) box motifs. Multiple nearly identical copies of this snoRNA have been identified in Arabidopsis, and it is thought to function as a 2'-O-ribose methylation guide for 18S ribosomal RNA. The record is from Rfam by way of RNAcentral. Lineage: Eukaryota; Viridiplantae; Streptophyta; Magnoliopsida; Malvales; Malvaceae.